CCUACGGGGGGCAGCAGUGGGGAAUAUUGCGCAAUGGGCGAAAGCCUGACGCAGCGACGCCGCGUGGGUGAUGAAGGCCUUCGGGUUGUAAAGCCCUGUCGGGUGGAACGAACGAUCUGGCGGCGAAUAACCGCCGGGUGUGACGGUACCACCGAAGGAAGCCCCGGCUAACUACGUGCCAGCAGCCGCGGUAAGACGUAGGGGGCGAGCGGGGGUCGGAUUUACGUAGCCGAAAGGGCGAGUAGGUGGCGAAAUCCCUCGGCUUAACCGAGGUCACGCGUCCGAUACUGUCUGGCUCGAGUCUAGGAGAGGAAAGCGGAAUUCCCAGUGGAGCGGUGAAAUGCGUAGAUAUUGGGAGGAACACCGGUGGCGAAGGCGGCUUUCCGGACUAGUACUGACGCUGAGGCGCGAAAGCUAGGGGAGCGAACGGGAUUAGAUACCCUAGUAGUC
RNAcentral lists this ribosomal RNA (450 nucleotides) under uncultured bacterium. RNAcentral's name for it is "partial 16S ribosomal RNA". It matches the Rfam family "Bacterial small subunit ribosomal RNA", at positions 338 to 795 of the family's 1533-position model. The record is from RNAcentral.